Molecule: long non-coding RNA, 209 nt
Filed under: Lathyrus oleraceus (garden pea)
Lineage: Eukaryota; Viridiplantae; Streptophyta; Magnoliopsida; Fabales; Fabaceae
Description: Pisum sativum (pea) long non-coding RNA (PSAT_LNC019578)
Source: RNAcentral
UAAUAAAAAAGGACAGAGGAAUGCUAAACGUAUUAGAUUCUUAAGUGGUUUUUUUAAUAGCUUAAAUGUUUGUUUUUCUUAAAAUAAAUAAAAGAAAAAAAAAACAAUGGGAGCAACAGUAACAGACAUCGUCACUCCCUCAUCGUCCUCACUCUCACAACAUCUUCACGUUUCUCUCAACCGCUCUCUCAAUCUCGCUUUCUCAAAAU